UACGUAGGGGGCCAGCGUUGCUCGGAAUUACUGGGCGUAAAGGGUUCGUAGGUGGUGCGGCAAGUUGGAAGUGAAAUCUCUGGGCUUAACCCAGAGGCUGCUUUCAAAACUGCCGCGCUCGAGUGCGAGAGAGGUCAGUGGAAUUGCAGGUGUAGCGGUGAAAUGCGUAGAUAUCGUCAAGAACACCGAUAGCGAAGGCAGCUUACUAGACUGUAACUGACGCUGAGGCACGAAAGUGUGGGGAUCAAACAGG
This 253-nucleotide ribosomal RNA is filed under the name uncultured prokaryote. Its description in RNAcentral is "partial 16S ribosomal RNA". It matches the Rfam family "Bacterial small subunit ribosomal RNA", at positions 524 to 776 of the family's 1533-position model. The record is from RNAcentral.